GCAAGUCGAGCGCGCCCUUCGGGGUGAGCGGCGGACGGGUGAGUAAUGCUUGGGAAUCUGCCCGGUAGUGGGGGAUAACGUGUGGAAACGCACGCUAAUACCGCAUACGUCCUACGGGAGAAAGCAGGGGAUCUUCGGACCUUGCGCUAUCGGAUGAGCCCAAGUCGGAUUAGCUAGUUGGUGGGGUAAAGGCUCACCAAGGCGACGAUCCGUAGCUGGUCUGAGAGGAUGAUC
This 234-nucleotide ribosomal RNA is filed under the name uncultured bacterium. RNAcentral's name for it is "partial 16S ribosomal RNA". It matches the Rfam family "Bacterial small subunit ribosomal RNA", at positions 57 to 305 of the family's 1533-position model. The record is from RNAcentral.